GAUGAACGCUGGCGGCGCGCCUAACCAUGCAGUCGAACGGUUAAGGCAUUUUCGGAUGUGUAUAAAGUGACGAACGGCUGAGUAACACGUGGGCACCUGCCCUUUGCACUGGGAUAGCCUCGGGAAACCGAGGUUAAUACCGGAUACUCCAUAUUUGUCGCAUGGCGAAUAUGGGAAAGCUCCGGCGGCAAAGGAUGGGCCCGCGGCCUGUUAGCUAGUUGGUGGGGUAGUGGCCUACCAAGGCAAUGAUGGGUAGCCGGGUUGAGAGACCGACCGGCCAGAUUGGGACUGAGACACGGCCCAGACUCCUACGGGAGGCAGCAGUGGGGAAUCUUGCACAAUGGGCGAAAGCCUGAUGCAGCGACGCCGCGUGCGGGAUGAAGGCYUUCGGGUUGUAAACCGCUUUCAGCAGGGACGAGGCCGCAAGGUGACGGUACCUGCAGAAGAAGCCCCGGCUAACUACGUGCCAGCAGCCGCGGUAAUACGUAGGGGGCAAGCGUUAUCCGGAUUCAUUGGGCGUAAAGCGCGCGUAGGCGGUCUGUUAGGUCAGGAGUUAAAUCUGGGGGCUCAACCCCUAUCCGCUCCUGAUACCGGCAGGCUUGAGUCUGGUAGGGGAAGAUGGAAUUCCAAGUGUAGCGGUGAAAUGCGCAGAUAUUUGGAAGAACACCGGUGGCGAAGGCGGUCUUCUGGGCCAUGACUGACGCUGAGGCGCGAAAGCUAGGGGAGCGAACAGGAUUAGAUACCCUGGUAGUCCUAGCUGUAAACGAUGGACACUAGGUGUGGGGAGAUUAUACUUUCCGUGCCGCAGCUAACGCAUUAAGUGUCCCGCCUGGGGAGUACGGUCGCAAGACUA
Molecule: ribosomal RNA, 853 nt
Filed under: Fannyhessea vaginae
Lineage: Bacteria; Bacillati; Actinomycetota; Coriobacteriia; Coriobacteriales; Atopobiaceae
Description: bacterial SSU rRNA
Rfam family: Bacterial small subunit ribosomal RNA
Source: RNAcentral